CCUACGGGUGGCAGCAGUGGGGAAUAUUGCACAAUGGGGGAAACCCUGAUGCAGCGACGCCGCGUGAGUGAAGAAGUAUUUCGGGAUGUAAAGCUCUAUCAGCAGGGAAGAAAAAAGACGGUACCUGACUAAGAAGCCCCGGCUGACUACGUGCCAGCAGCCGCGGUAAUACGUAGGGGGCAAGCGUUAUCCGGAUUUACUGGGUGUAAAGGGAGCGUAGACGGCAAUACAAGUCGGACGGGAAAUACCCGGGCCCAACCCGGGACCUGCUGUGGAAACUGUAUGGCUAGAGUGCAGGAGAGGCAGGCGGAAUUCGUGGUGUAGCGAUGAAAUGCAUAGAUAUUAGGAGGAACACCAGUGGCGAAGGCGGCUUGCUGGACAGCGACUGACGCUGAGGCUCGAAGGUGUGGGUAGCAAACAGGAUUAGAUACCCUUGUAGUC
RNAcentral lists this ribosomal RNA (441 nucleotides) under uncultured bacterium. RNAcentral describes it as "partial 16S ribosomal RNA". It matches the Rfam family "Bacterial small subunit ribosomal RNA", at positions 338 to 795 of the family's 1533-position model. The record is from RNAcentral.